CCCACGAUCGCACGUCCCACGCCUGGUCUCCCCAGCCCCUCGCUUCCGAUCACAUCUCUCGCCUGUAUGGUCUCGCCGCUCUGCCCUCUCGAUCCGCCGCCGUGAAGCCUGUAUGGUCACCAUCUAGCCUCCACCGUCUCCCUUCUCCUCUCUGAAGGCAGGCCCUCCUCGGUGUGAUGAGUAGUCCGCGGUGCUGCCGCCCCCUGCACGAGAGUGGCCGCGGCGUCGGCCACACCAGCACUCUCGUCGGGGCCGCACUUCCUGUACCGUACCUGGCUGGCCGGGAGGAGCUUGCUGCUCGCCAUGAUCUUCUCCACGUGUAGGCUACCCGGUCGAGCUCUCCCACCGGUCAAACGAGCCAAGCGCAAAAGUGACGAGAGAAUGCAUGCUCUGCAAUGACGUGCACUGCGUACCUUGCAGAGUUCUUGCUAGGAAUCUGAAGAUAGCGUGUUGUACACCUGCAGGUAAUUUGCUUUUAUUGGAUUGUGGGAGGAGAGGCCAAACCGUACUUGUGUAAUGGUGCAGCUUAAAUGUUUGAAGGAAGACUUACAUCAUACUUGGAGAAUAAUUACAUCCUACUUGGAGGUAGGAGGGACGUGUCAUAUGUUUUUGGGAUCCAGGUAAUAUUUAGCUUACCUGCUAGACCACAUUACUUCCAAAAUAUUUACCUACCAUGACAGGAAAAUCUAUUGGAUCUAGCACUGCAUUGUAGACUCAACAUAUCUAGCUCAGACCCGUCAUCCUCUCAUUCCGUGUUAUGUAUGCUUUUCUUUUGAAGUUUUCAUCAACCUCGCUUUCUUUAUUCAGAACAAGAUGGUUGUAUAUACAUCCAAAUUCAGAUCACACAGUGCCUUACAAGGUGGGAAUCAGCAGGGCAAGGGAAGAAUCCUGGGAGGUAAUUUUGAUUAUCCCAUAAUGGGGUCCAUGAUAAAUGUUGGCUAAUUGUGUUUUGAAAAAUAUCAGUUUCAUGUUCUCUUGGUGUUUUUGGAUUUGCCUCAAUGUCAUCCAGAUUGAUUUCAUAUACCAAAAUCUUAAUCCAACUCUUUUCUGGACAUAAGUUUAUAUGCACAUGCUACAUAGUUUUGAUGUAUAUAUGUCUCUUCCUCUGAGUAGUAUGCUCCAAUUUUUGUUUCUUGAUGUAUAUUGCCACUUGAAUAACACUCAGUUUCUCUAAAUAAAUUUGUACUCUACAUACCUCUCUCUCUGCGGUGGAAAAUCUAUCAUACAGGGCAAUAAGAUGAAAUCAGUUUUUAAUUUGAGAUGUCCUUUAAAAAACCCAUGGAGAAACCAAGCGAAUUGACAGUCAGCCCGCAUCAAUAUGGCGAAUCGACCGGAGUUGCCUUCUUGGGACGAUGCAUUUGCAUUGAAGCAGUGUCGCUGGUCUGAUCGCGGCGGUCAGCACCGCCCUCCCAUCCGGUCACAUUGCGCGACAUCAAUACAGGUCUGCAGCUCUGGGCCGGCAUGAAUGUGGUGCGGGAAGCUGCGCGUCUGUUGGAGAGAUAGAGUAUGUAUGUUUAUUUGUAUUUUUCUUACUUAAUAGGUGGAUUUGCUCCAGUGAUUCUGCGGCCGUCGAGGAGGUGAGGUUUUUCCGUCAAAUGAUUUUACAGUCUGUUUGGUGUGACCACUGCUACUAGGUGCAGAGUAAGGACUAGGACAAGCAUCAGUCAUGUAAAUUGUUAAUCAAUCUGGUUUUGCAAGUCGUUGAGUCGUAGUAGCUAUGUAGGAUUCCUAAUGGAUACUACCAUGAAUCAUGUUCUGUCGUUAAGGAGAACCUUUUCUAAA
Molecule: long non-coding RNA, 1782 nt
Organism: Triticum aestivum (bread wheat)
Lineage: Eukaryota; Viridiplantae; Streptophyta; Magnoliopsida; Poales; Poaceae
Exons: 2
Source: RefSeq, a predicted model, not a curated record